This is a long non-coding RNA of Bos taurus (domestic cattle), 690 nucleotides long. The record is from Ensembl. Lineage: Eukaryota; Metazoa; Chordata; Mammalia; Artiodactyla; Bovidae.
CAGGUAAGCUGCACAUAUGGGUCCUCUGUGAAUACACGUCACAGGCCCAUAAAGCUGGUCUAGCUCAUGGGUUUGCUUUACUUGAUCUGAAAGACUGUACCUCUAAACAGUAGGCUGGGAGAGAAGGGGAGAAUCUGAUAAGCCCACAAUGGCUAUUGCUUUUGAUGGCCAGUGUGAAGGGUUUGAAGUGCCAAAAAUCUUGGCUUUCUCUGCCCACCGAAGUUAAAUAAAAAAUACGGGGGCAGAAUUUGGAGGAAGUAGAAAGGUGGCUUUCAUCCUCAGCUAGUGGAGGGGAGAACGCAGUGGGCUGGUGCCUCCAGAGCUGGGCCCCUCCUCCCUUGAGGAGUCCAGGGGCUUAUAUAAGAUGAAGGCUCACAGUCAUGGGGAGGUGAUGAGGAACAAAGGUCCUUCUUUCUGAAAUGCAGAAAGAGAAGAACUUCAAGGGGUGGUCUGCGAAGAGAGUGCUGUAAAGGGGUCUUCCCAGCAAGCGGGAGGAGGGCUUUGCUAACUUAAAGGGCCAAUAGAUUCAUCUCCUCAAAGUGUGAAAGCCCAGGAGCCUUGGCUGCUUACGAAGAGGCUAUCAGGUUCCCCUACAUAGAACAGUGACGAUUUGCUCCUGGGGACUGUCUGGUUCUUCCUUUGGUGCAGCAGUGAAGAGUUGACACAGAGGGGUCAUAUAUAUCUUUAUUU